RNAcentral lists this ribosomal RNA (477 nucleotides) under uncultured bacterium. RNAcentral's name for it is "bacterial SSU rRNA". It matches the Rfam family "Bacterial small subunit ribosomal RNA", at positions 365 to 832 of the family's 1533-position model. The record is from RNAcentral.
UUCGCAAUGCCCGAAAGGGUGACGCAGCGACGCCGCGUGCGGGAAGGAGGCCUUCGGGUUGUAAACCGCUGUCGGGAGUUAAGAAAUGCAAGGGUGUUAACAGCAUCCUUGCUUGACUAAGGCUCCGGAGGAAGCCACGGCUAACUCUGUGCCAGCAGCCGCGGUAAUACAGAGGCGGCAAGCGUUGUUCGGAAUUAUUGGGCGUAAAGAGCACGUAGGCGGCUGUGUAAGUCGGUUGCGAAAGCCUUCCGCUCAACGGGAGAACGGCAUCCGAUACUGCAUGGCUAGAGUGCGGGAGGGGGGAGUGGAACUUCUGGUGGAGCGGUGAAAUGCGUAGAUAUCAGAAGGAACGCCGGCGGCGAAAGCGGCUCUCUGGCUCGUAACUGACGCUGAGUGUGCGAAAGCUAGGGGAGCAAACGGGAUUAGAUACCCCGGUAGUCCUAGCCGUAAACGAUGGGCACUAAGUAGAGGGGUUUU